CUACUACUCCCUCCGUCCGAAAAUACUUGUCAUUGAAAUGGAUGUAUCUAGAUGUAUUUUAGUUCUAGACACAUCCAUUUUGAUGACAAGUAAUUUCGGACGGAGGGAGUAUUAU
Triticum aestivum (bread wheat) is the source of this 115-nucleotide non-coding RNA. The record is from Rfam. Lineage: Eukaryota; Viridiplantae; Streptophyta; Magnoliopsida; Poales; Poaceae.